Molecule: ribosomal RNA, 468 nt
Filed under: uncultured bacterium
Lineage: Bacteria
Description: partial 16S ribosomal RNA
Rfam family: Bacterial small subunit ribosomal RNA
Source: RNAcentral
GACGAACGCUGGCGGCGUGCUUAACACAUGCAAGUCGAACGGCAAGGCACUGCUUUUGUGGGGUGCCCGAGUGGCGAUCGCGUGCGUAACACGUGUGUAACCUGCUCUUGACUUUGGGAUGACUUCAGGUAACUGGGGCUACUACCGGAUAGGAGCCCCUCUUGCAGGGAGGGGGUUGGAAAGUUUCGGCGUUCGGGAAUGGAGUCGCGGGUAAUGAGCUAGUUGGUUGGGUAGUGGCUUACCAAGUAAGUGACUGGUAGCCGGCCUGUGAGGGUGAACGGCGACCUUGGGACUGAGAUACGGCCCAGACUGGUACGUGAGGCAGUAGUGGGAAAUAUUGCCCAACGGGCCGACGCCGGAGGCGGCAACGCCGCGGGCGGGAUGACGUCCUGUGGGUUGUGAACCGCUUUCGCCUGUGACGAAGCUGUAGUGACGGUAAUGGGUAAAGAAGCACCGGCUAACUACGUG